GUAAGGAAAUGGAUUUUCCCCUAGAGCCUCUGGGGGAACUGCAGCCCUCCCGACACCUUGAUUGUGGCCCAGUGAAAUCCAUUUUGGACUUCUGGCUGUUGAAGUCUGUAAUUUGUGUUGUUUUAAGCCACCCAGUUUGUGAUAAUUUGUGAUAGGAGCCAUAUGAAACCAAUACAGAUGACUUCCAGAAUUCCAUUUUGAGCAACAGGAUAAGUGUAGUACCAUUUACUAAAAUGAGAAAUGUUAGGGAAUGAGCAGACAGAUUUGAAGGGUGGGAAGUAUCAAAGAAAUAUCAAGAAACCAUUUUUGAACUUGCUAAUCUUAAUAUCUGUGAGUAACCCAAAUUGAAAAGAUUAGUUGGCUGUUGAAUACAUCCUUGCAGUUUGCUGAAUUUUUUGGAUCUAUUGAUUGUCAUUUUUCAUUAUAUUUCAUCAUAUUUCAUGUCUCUUGAAAUAUUUAUUCUGCUCCAUUGUCCAUCUUCUUUUUGUCCUGUUAGAAUUGUUGAUAUUAUUCCACAAACCAUUGAGGCUCUGUUCACUUUUUUUUCAUUUUUUCUCUGUGUAUAAGUUUGGAAAUUUCUAUCUACCUGUCUUCAAUUUCACUGAUACUUUUCUUCUGAAAGCCUUUCCUAUUUUAAUUUCAGGUAUUGUAUUUUCAGUUCUGGGACAUCCAUUUGGUUCAUUUUCAGCUUCCAUAUAUUUUCCGAAAUUUUCCAUAUCUUUACUCAUCCAUUUUUCCUAUGAAUUCUUUAAUAUACUUAUAAUAGUCAUUUUAAACUUCUUGUUUGCUAAUUCCAAUAUCUGGUAUGUCUGUGUGUCUGCUUUUAUUGACUGAUUUUGCUUUUGAAUGUGGUCACAAUUUCCUGACCCUUUACAUGUCCAGUAAUUUUCAUUGUACAUUGAAUGAUAUUUUGUAGAGACAUUGGAUUUGCAGUCUUCCUCUGAAAAAUGUUAGUUCUGUUCCAGAAAGCAAUUAAAUUGCUUGUGGAUCCACUUGAUCCUACAGAUGCUUUGUUUUUAGUUUCGUUAGAGUGGCUGUAAUUCAAUUUUUCUCUCAGCUCCAAGGCAUAGACUUUUGGGAAUGAUUCUUCUUACUAUAAGAUGUGACCUUUCUGGAGCAUCAGUGACAAACCCUAGAUUUAAGUCCCCUAAUUAGGCAGGACUUGAAUCCCAAACUGUGUCUCCCUAAUGCCAGGCAGCUACUGAAAUACCUGUUCAGCAUUUUACCCUUCCAACUAUUGCUUUCUGCUGGGUGUGUUGGAGUCUCACUCUAUAUGUAUGCAGCCAGAUUUUGGAAUAGUUCACGUGCAGACUAGGAGGCCACCCCUUUUGUGGUUUCAUACUUUCAUGCACUUACCUAUCCUCACCAAUUUCUAGCAGCCCUGAACUUUGACCUCAGACUUCUGUUUGAGCAAACUGGAAAGUGCUAUCACAGGAAAAGCCAGUUAAAUGUGGAUCUCAUCCAGUGUGCUUCUAUUCUUGAAAGCAUACUAUCAGCUCCAGUCUCUGCCUGCUUUUAGUUGAUAUAGAGAGAGGCAUGGAAAUAGACAUAGAUAUAUAGAUAUAUUUGUUUUUCCAGAGUUUAUAAUUGUUAUUGGCAGGAAACUUAGUCCAAUAUACACUAUUCUGACACACAACCAUCAGAAUUCUGGUAGUUGAAUGGAUGAAUCUUGAUUUCAGGAAAGAAUUCUGAGCAGAAAUAUAAAAAUUGAUAUUUAUCAAUGGGAGAAACAGUCUAGGAAAGUGCUUCUCAUUAUUGGUUUCACGUUAGAAUCUCCUGACAAAAUUUAAUAAUCUAUUUGGCCAGACUACCCCAAAUCAACUAAAUCAGAAUCUCUGGGGAUUGGACCCGAGUAUCAGUAUUUGUUAAAGCCCCACAGGUGAUUUAAAUGUGCACCUAGAAUUGAGAACUGCUGAACUCAAAAGAGGGCAAAGGGUAAAAGAAGAAGUAGAUUCAGAUCCCAGGCUUAUUCAGCAAAGGAAACUGAGAAGGAACAACCAGAGGAAGAUAGGGUCAUAAAAGGCAAGAGAGGAGAGUGUUUCUCUAAGCAGGAAGAAGUCAUCAAACGUGUUAAAUGCUCAAGAACCAUGUGAAGCGAUAUGAAUCCACUUUUGCAAAUGAAGAAUCUGAGCCUGAAGGAAGAUUAGAGACUUGCUCAAGAUUUUACAGACAGAGGACUCAGCAGAGGACUCCAAGGCCCUAGAGAACAAUGGGACUGAAUAUACAACAGGAGGAGCCUGGGUUCCUGAGAGACUCUGUGGAGCAGAAUACCCACCCUUCCCUCUACCCCAUUGGCCUUUGCAUGAGAGAGAAAUAAAAUUCCAUUUUAUUACUGCUGAGAUUUUGAAAUGAUUUGUUUCAGCAGAUAGCCUCCCCUAAAUAAUACGAUAAAAUAAAGAUUGACAUGAUAACUUUUUUUCCGUGUGUCAAGGAUGGAUUUAUUCAGCAUUGGAGAAGAUUUUAUGACUCAAAACUCAAGUGACAGUGUCCUGAAAUAAAAGCUACUCCAAGAUAAAGAAAUGUUCCAGAACUCUUUUUAUCAUCUGUUAUUUCCUUCUCUAUUAAAAGAGCUACUUAGUGACAGCUCAUAAUUCUUUUUUUUUUUUUUUUUUUGGAAGUUUUGCCUUUACCUUUUACCUAGUUUACUGCAUAUGAUUUCUCUCAUUUUAAUUUUUUUGC
Long non-coding RNA from Equus caballus (horse), 2679 nucleotides. NCBI's taxonomy places the organism in Eukaryota, Metazoa, Chordata, Mammalia, Perissodactyla, Equidae. The record is from Ensembl.